This 361-nucleotide long non-coding RNA is filed under the name Homo sapiens (human). RNAcentral's name for it is "non-protein coding lnc-ALG2-6:26". The record is from RNAcentral. Lineage: Eukaryota; Metazoa; Chordata; Mammalia; Primates; Hominidae.
GUUCCAGGGGGUUCCUUUGAAAACUUCCUGCGGUGUCCAGGAGCGAGCAGCCUGCUGCACACAGGACGCAAUGCCUGCUGAAAUCCCAGAUGAAAAUUCAUAAUCCACUUAGGAAAAAGGAGGGGGGAUGCACGGAGUUAGCACAUAUUAAGUGCCUGCUGUAGUCAAGCCCUGUUGGACACCAGGGACAUCUGGACCUUGACAACGGAGCGAAGGGGUGGUCCUGCCUGCACCAGGUUUCAGUGGCUUCUCAGGCUUCUCUGCAGCAUGGGUGUUCCUGCCUUGGCCAGAGCCGAAAUCCCAGAGCAGUGAAAGAGGAGCCAGUGUCAUGGGGCUUCUGGUUUCAGGACACACUGGAAAG